UAACAAGGAUUCCCCUAGUAACUGCGAGUGAAGCGGGAAAAGCUCAAAUUUAAAAUCUGGUAGUCUUUGGCUGCCCGAGUUGUAAUCUAGAGAAGCGUCUUCCGCGCUGGACCGUGUACAAGUCUUUUGGAAUAAAGCAUCAUAGAGGGUGAGAAUCCCGUCUUUGACACGGACUACCAGUGCUUUGUGAUGCGCUCUCAAAGAGUCGAGUUGUUUGGGAAUGCAGCUCAAAAUGGGUGGUAAAUUCCAUCUAAAGCUAAAUAUUGGCGAGAGACCGAUAGCGAACAAGUACCGUGAGGGAAAGAUGAAAAGCACUUUGGAAAGAGAGUUAAACAGUACGUGAAAUUGUUGAAAGGGAAACGCUUGAAGUCAGUCGCGUUGUUCAGAACUCAGCCUGGCUCCCGCUUGGUGUAUUUUCUGUUUAACGGGCCAGCAUCAAUUUUGACCAUUGGAAAAAGGCCAGAGGAAUGUGGCAUCUUCGGGUGUGUUAUAGCCUCUGGUUGCAUACAAUGGUUGGGAUUGAGGAUCUCAGCAUGCCUUUUGGCCGGGGUUCGCCCACGUUCAUGCUUAGGAUGCUGGCGUAAUGGCUUUAAACGAC
RNAcentral lists this ribosomal RNA (598 nucleotides) under Hyphoderma subsetigerum. RNAcentral's name for it is "eukaryotic LSU rRNA". It matches the Rfam family "Eukaryotic large subunit ribosomal RNA", at positions 66 to 648 of the family's 3401-position model. Lineage: Eukaryota; Fungi; Basidiomycota; Agaricomycetes; Polyporales; Hyphodermataceae. The record is from RNAcentral.